CAUGAAGCUGGAAUUGCUAGUAAUCGCGGAUCAGCAAGCCGCGGUGAAUACGUUCCCGGGCCUUGUACACACCGCCCGUCACACCAUGAGAGUCGGGAACACCCGAAGUCCGUAGUCUAACCGCAAGGGGGCGCGGCCGAAGGUGGGUCCGGUAAUUGGGGUGAAGUCGUAACAAGGUACC
This 181-nucleotide ribosomal RNA is filed under the name uncultured bacterium. Its description in RNAcentral is "partial 16S ribosomal RNA". It matches the Rfam family "Bacterial small subunit ribosomal RNA", at positions 1319 to 1500 of the family's 1533-position model. The record is from RNAcentral.